GGACCUUAGGAUCGUUCUAUAUCUUCAAUAAAGAGGGUUGCCAAGAACGUAGGUUCAUUCCUUUUGACCCCCUUCUUCAACUGCAAGGCCGAGAUUUUCUCAACGGCCAUCUUCAUGGGCAGGCAUUGGAUAAUGCAGGGCUUGGCCCUAUUGGUUCCCAUCAUCAGUAGCAUGUCUGCAAAUGGUAAGGCAUGGUGUUGGUUUGCCUUAGGAAUUCUAGCCCAACUAUCAGCUUGAAUUCAUCUAUGAUCACCACUCGCAGGUUGAAUUUUUCUUCAUAAGGGCCAAGCUUCACCGGUACUUCUUUAACUAUUCCACCCACUGGCUGGGGAAGUGAGUUGAUAGCCUUGACACUACCUCUACAUUUCCCUACAACUAGACCAAG
Molecule: long non-coding RNA, 385 nt
Filed under: Nicotiana benthamiana
Lineage: Eukaryota; Viridiplantae; Streptophyta; Magnoliopsida; Solanales; Solanaceae
Description: long non-coding RNA (NBEN_LNC015388)
Source: RNAcentral